AUUGAACGCUGGCGGAAUGCUUUACACAUGCAAGUCGAACGGUCCAUGGUUAAGCUGACGAGUGGCGAACGGGUGAGUAAUACAUCGGAACGUGCCCAGUCGUGGGGGAUAACGUAGAGAACUUUACGCUAGUACCGCAUACGAUCUAAGGAUGAAAGCGGGGGACCGUAAGGCCUCGCGCGAUUGGAGCGGCCGAUGUCAGAUUAGGUAGUUGGUGGGGUAAAGGCCUACCAAGCCGACGAUCUGUAGCUGGUAUGAGAGGGCGACCAGCCACACUGGGACUGGGACACGGCCCAGACUCCGACGGGAGGCAGCAGUGGGGAAUUUUGGACAAUGGGCGCAAGCCUGAUCCAGCCAUUCCGCGUGCAGGAUGAAGGCCCUCGUGUUGUAAACUGCUGUUGUACAGAACGAAAAGGUCUGGUUUAAUACCCUGGGCUCAUGACGGUACUGUAAGAAUAAGCACCGGCUAACUACGUGCCAGCCGCCGCCGUAA
RNAcentral lists this ribosomal RNA (493 nucleotides) under uncultured bacterium. RNAcentral describes it as "partial 16S ribosomal RNA". It matches the Rfam family "Bacterial small subunit ribosomal RNA", at positions 30 to 523 of the family's 1533-position model. The record is from RNAcentral.